CGACUUUCAGCAAGGGAUGUCUUGGCUCCCGCAACGAUGAAGAACGCAGCGAAAUGCGAUACUUAAUGUGAAUUGCAGAAUUCAGUGAAUCAUCGAAUCUUUGAACGCAUAUUGCGCUUCCGGGAAAUUCCUGGGAGCAUGCUUGUUUGAGUGCCUG
RNAcentral lists this ribosomal RNA (157 nucleotides) under uncultured marine stramenopile. RNAcentral describes it as "5.8S ribosomal RNA". It matches the Rfam family "5.8S ribosomal RNA". Rfam says of the family: 5.8S ribosomal RNA (5.8S rRNA) is a component of the large subunit of the eukaryotic ribosome. The record is from RNAcentral.